This 549-nucleotide ribosomal RNA is filed under the name Dactylopodola sp. 184616362. RNAcentral's name for it is "SSU rRNA". It matches the Rfam family "Eukaryotic small subunit ribosomal RNA", at positions 78 to 618 of the family's 1831-position model. Lineage: Eukaryota; Metazoa; Gastrotricha; Macrodasyida; Dactylopodolidae. The record is from RNAcentral.
AUAGUGAAACCGCGAAUGGCUCAUUAAAUCAGUUAUGGUUUAAAAGAUCGUGUCCACAUUUGGAUAACUGUGGUAAUUCUAGAGCUAAUACAUGCAGCAAGGCUCCGACCUCUUCAGGGACGAGCGCAUUUAUUAGAUCAAAACCAAUCGGUUCGCUCCGGCGGCCGUCGAAUUGGUGACUCUGGAUAACUCUAAGCGAAUCGCACGGACCUGCUCCGGCGAUGUAUCUUUCAAAUGUCUGCCCUAUCAACUUGCGUAGGCCGUUAACUUGACCGCCUUGGUUGUUACGGGUAACGGGGAAUCAGGGUUCGAUUCCGGAGAGGGAGCAUGAGAAACGGCUGCCACAUCCAAGGAAGGCAGCAGGCGCGCAAAUUACCCACUCCUGGCACAGUGAGGUAGUGACGAAAAAUAACGAUGCGGGUCCUAUCUAAGGCCUCGCAAUUGGAAUGAGUACACUUUAAAUCCUUUAACGAGGAUCAAUUGGAGGGCAAGUCUGGUGCCAGCAGCCGGGGUAAUYCMGGCYCCAAUAGCGUAUAUUAAAGUUGUUGC